Molecule: ribosomal RNA, 839 nt
Filed under: uncultured eukaryote
Lineage: Eukaryota
Description: SSU rRNA
Rfam family: Eukaryotic small subunit ribosomal RNA
Source: RNAcentral
CGGUGUUCAACUGGCGUGCCCGCGGGACGUCCUGCCGGUGAGCUCAGCCCGCGAGGGCGGCUCAACUUGAAAUCCCAUCGCGGUGCUCUUCAUUGAGUGUCGAGGUGGGCCGGCACGAUUACUUUUGAACAAAUUAGAGUGCUUAAAGCAGGCUAAAAUUUUGCCUGAAUACUGUGUAUAUGGAAUAAUGGAAUAGGACCUCGGUUCUAUUUUGUUGGUUUUCGGAACCCCGAGGUAAUGAUUAAUAGGAACGGAUGGGGGCAUUCGUAUUGCGACGUUAGAGGUGAAAUUCUUGGAUCGUCGCAAGACGGACUAAAGCGAAAGCAUUUGCCAAAAACGCUUUCAUUGAUCAAGAACGAAAGUUAGAGGUUCGAAGGCGAUCAGAUACCGCCCUAGUUCUAACCAUAAACGAUGCCAGCUAGCGAUCCGCCGACGUCCCUCUGAUGACUCGGCGGGCAGCUUCCGGGAAACCAAAGCUUUUGGGUUCCGGGGGAAGUAUGGUUGCAAAGCUGAAACUUAAAGGAAUUGACGGAAGGGCACCACCAGGAGUGGAGCCUGCGGCUUAAUUUGACUCAACACGGGAAACCUCACCAGGCCCAGACACUGGAAGGAUUGACAGAUUGAGAGCUCUUUCUUGAUUCAGUGGGUGGUGGUGCAUGGCCGUUCUUAGUCGGUGGAGCGAUUUGUCAGGUUAAUUCCGAUAACGGACGAGACUCUGACCUGAUAACUAGACGCACUUGCGGCAUCUCAAAGGUCCGCCGGCGGCUGGCUUUGCGCCCGUCGUCGCGCGCGAUUUUUACUGCCGGCGUACAAUAAAUUCUUCUUAGAGGGACAAGUGG